RNAcentral lists this ribosomal RNA (250 nucleotides) under uncultured bacterium. Its description in RNAcentral is "partial 16S ribosomal RNA". It matches the Rfam family "Bacterial small subunit ribosomal RNA", at positions 524 to 773 of the family's 1533-position model. The record is from RNAcentral.
UACUGAAGGUGUGAGCGUUAAUCGGAAUUACUGGGCGUAAAGCGCGCGUAGGUGGUUAGGUAAGCGAGAUGUGAAAGCCCCGGGCUCAACCUGGGAAUGGCAUUUCGAACUGCUUGGCUAGAGUGUGGUAGAGGGUAGUGGAAUUUCCUGUGUAGCGGUGAAAUGCGUAGAUAUAGGAAGGAACACCAGUGGCGAAGGCGGCUACCUGGACCAACACUGACACUGAGGUGCGAAAGCGUGGGGAGCAAAC